AGCUCCAAUAGCGUAUAUUAAAGUUGUUGUGGUUAAAAAGCUCGUAGUUGGAUCUCAGUUCGAGUCAGGCGGUCCACUUGCCAGUGGUUACUGCUCUGUGCUGAACGUUUCUUUAUCGUAACGUCCUAUGGUAUUCUUAACCGAGUGUCAUAGGCGUUCGAUACGUUUACUUUGAAAAAAUUAGAGUGCUCAAAGCAGGCUUUUACAAGCCCGAAUAAUGUUGCAUGGAAUAAUGGAAUAGGACCUCGGUUCUAUUUUGUUGGUCUUCGGAAUCUCCGAGGUAAUGAUUAAGAGGGACAGACGGGGGCAUUCGUAUUGCGACGCUAGAGGUGAAAUUCUUGGACCGUUGCAAGACGAACUAAAGCGAAGGCAUUUGCCAAGAAUGUUUUCA
RNAcentral lists this ribosomal RNA (391 nucleotides) under uncultured eukaryote. Its description in RNAcentral is "SSU rRNA". It matches the Rfam family "Eukaryotic small subunit ribosomal RNA", at positions 587 to 972 of the family's 1831-position model. The record is from RNAcentral.